GGAUUAGAUACCCUGGUAGUCCAUGCUGUAAACGAUGAAUACUCGAUGUUGGCGAUACACUGUCAGCGUUCAAGCGAAAGCAUUAAGUAUUCCACCUGGGGAGUACGAUCGCAAGGUUGAAACUCAAAGGAAUUGACGGGGGCCCGCACAAGCGGUGGAGCAUGUGGUUUAAUUCGAAGCAACGCGCAGAACCUUACCAACCCUUGACAUCCUGUGCUAACUCCAGAGAUGGAGUGUUCCCUUCGGGGACGCAGUGACAGGUGCUGCAUGGCUGUCGUCAGCUCGUGCCG
Molecule: ribosomal RNA, 290 nt
Filed under: uncultured bacterium
Lineage: Bacteria
Description: partial 16S ribosomal RNA
Rfam family: Bacterial small subunit ribosomal RNA
Source: RNAcentral